GCGAGCGAGUGAUCGUAAGCAAAUCUCAAAAAUAACGUCUCAGUUCGGAUUGUAGUCUGCAACUCGACUACAUGAAGCUGGAAUCGCUAGUAAUCGCGAAUCAGCAUGUCGCGGUGAAUACGUUCCCGGGUCUUGUACACACCGCCCGUCACACCAUGGGAGUUGGUAACGCCCGAAGCCAGUGACCCAACCUUAAGAGGAGGGAGCUGUCGAAGGUGGGACCGAUAACUGGGGUGAAGUCGUAACAAGGUACC
This 254-nucleotide ribosomal RNA is filed under the name uncultured bacterium. Its description in RNAcentral is "partial 16S ribosomal RNA". It matches the Rfam family "Bacterial small subunit ribosomal RNA", at positions 1249 to 1500 of the family's 1533-position model. The record is from RNAcentral.